This 255-nucleotide ribosomal RNA is filed under the name uncultured bacterium. Its description in RNAcentral is "partial 16S ribosomal RNA". It matches the Rfam family "Bacterial small subunit ribosomal RNA", at positions 793 to 1055 of the family's 1533-position model. The record is from RNAcentral.
GUCCACGCCGUAAACGAUGCUAACUCGUUUUGGGGCUUUGGCUUCAGAGACUAAGCGAAAGUGAUAAGUUAGCCACCUGGGGAGUACGUUCGCAAGAAUGAAACUCAAAGGAAUUGACGGGGCCCGCACAAGCGGUGGAUUAUGUGGUUUAAUUCGAUGAUACGCGAGGAACCUUACCAAGGCUUAAAUGGGAAUUGACAGGUUUAGAGAUAGACUUUUCUUCGGACAAUUUUCAAGGUGCUGCAUGGUUGUCGU